This 776-nucleotide ribosomal RNA is filed under the name Enterococcus faecium. Its description in RNAcentral is "bacterial SSU rRNA". It matches the Rfam family "Bacterial small subunit ribosomal RNA", at positions 27 to 774 of the family's 1533-position model. Lineage: Bacteria; Bacillati; Bacillota; Bacilli; Lactobacillales; Enterococcaceae. The record is from RNAcentral.
GGACGAACGCUGGCGGCGUGCCUAAUACAUGCAAGUCGAACGCUUCUUUUUCCACCGGAGCUUGCUCCACCGGAAAAAGAGGAGUGGCGAACGGGUGAGUAACACGUGGGUAACCUGCCCAUCAGAAGGGGAUAACACUUGGAAACAGGUGCUAAUACCGUAUAACAAUCAAAACCGCAUGGUUUUGAUUUGAAAGGCGCUUUCGGGUGUCGCUGAUGGAUGGACCCGCGGUGCAUUAGCUAGUUGGUGAGGUAACGGCUCACCAAGGCCACGAUGCAUAGCCGACCUGAGAGGGUGAUCGGCCACAUUGGGACUGAGACACGGCCCAAACUCCUACGGGAGGCAGCAGUAGGGAAUCUUCGGCAAUGGACGAAAGUCUGACCGAGCAACGCCGCGUGAGUGAAGAAGGUUUUCGGAUCGUAAAACUCUGUUGUUAGAGAAGAACAAGGAUGAGAGUAACUGUUCAUCCCUUGACGGUAUCUAACCAGAAAGCCACGGCUAACUACGUGCCAGCAGCCGCGGUAAUACGUAGGUGGCAAGCGUUGUCCGGAUUUAUUGGGCGUAAAGCGAGCGCAGGCGGUUUCUUAAGUCUGAUGUGAAAGCCCCCGGCUCAACCGGGGAGGGUCAUUGGAAACUGGGAGACUUGAGUGCAGAAGAGGAGAGUGGAAUUCCAUGUGUAGCGGUGAAAUGCGUAGAUAUAUGGAGGAACACCAGUGGCGAAGGCGGCUCUCUGGUCUGUAACUGACGCUGAGGCUCGAAAGCGUGGGGAGCAAACA